UACCUAUUGUUAUUUGAACAUCCGUGAAAAAGCUACCUGCAGCAUGAAGGGGUUAAACAUAAGAAUGUAAAGACAAAAAGAGAUAAGAACUACCUCACUGAACAGAUUACCGAACAGUUUUUUUUUUAUUGGUGAACAAAUAAACGUAGAGUUCUGCUUUGUUUUUCUUGUGUUCUGGUUUUUGUUUUCAGGUAUCAUUUUGUUUAAUAAAAGCAUACAGUUCGUUAGCAUGGAUAUCAUAGCUGAACCCUCUGGAACACUGAAAUUAAAGACCUCAUGUUUGGAGUCUGUAUGGUGGAAGUAUUGCUUUAUUCAGAAUGUUAAUGUAAGCAACUACUUUGAGGUAUCGGCAUCACAAACAAUUUUCAGCGACAAGGGUUCAAGCAUCCAACUCUACUGAACAAUCAAGUAAUCAGUUUCUGUGGUAAGAUUUCUCAUCCACGAUAAAAUUAGUUCGAUGGAGUUCUCUGUUGCUCUUUGUCGACCCCCCCCCCCC
This 496-nucleotide long non-coding RNA is filed under the name Nicotiana benthamiana. RNAcentral describes it as "long non-coding RNA (NBEN_LNC002305)". Lineage: Eukaryota; Viridiplantae; Streptophyta; Magnoliopsida; Solanales; Solanaceae. The record is from RNAcentral.